This 1403-nucleotide ribosomal RNA is filed under the name uncultured bacterium. Its description in RNAcentral is "partial 16S ribosomal RNA". It matches the Rfam family "Bacterial small subunit ribosomal RNA". The record is from RNAcentral.
UUAGAGUUUGAUCCUGGCUCAGGAGAAACUCUGGCGGCGCACAUAAGACAUGCAAGUCGAACGGAACUUAGUUGAAUGUUUACAUGAUACGAAAGUUUAGUGGCGGACGGGUGAGUAACACGUGAGCAACCUACCUUCAGGAGGGGGAUAACAUUGAGAAAUCAGUGCUAAUACCGCAUAAAGUAUACCAACCACAUGGUAAGUAUGCCAAAGGAGAAAUCCACCGGAAGAUGGGCUCGCGGCUGAUUAGUUAGUUGGUGGGGCAACGGCCUACCAAGACGAUGAUCAGUAGCCGAGCUGAGAGGCACAACGGCCACAUUGGGACUGAGACACGGCCCAGACUCCUACGGGAGGCAGCAGUGAGGAAUAUUGGUCAAUGGUCGGAAGACUGAACCAGCCAAGUAGCGUGAAGGAUGAAGGUUCUAUGGAUUGUAAACUUCUUUUAUACGGGAAUAAAGCCCACUACGUGUAGUGGUUUGUAUGUACCGUAUGAAUAAGCAUCGGCUAACUCCGUGCCAGCAGCCGCGGUAAUACGGAGGAUGCGAGCGUUAUCCGGAUUUAUUGGGUUUAAAGGGAGCGUAGACGGGAUGUUAAGUCAGUUGUGAAAGGCUGCGGCUCAACCGCAGCACUGCAGUUGAUACUGGCGUCCUUGAGUGCGGUUGAGGUGUGUGGAAUUCGUGGUGUAGCGGUGAAAUGCUUAGAUAUCACGAAGAACUCCGAUUGCGAAGGCAGCACACUAAUCCGCUACUGACGUUGAGGCUCGAAAGUGUGGGUAUCAAACAGGAUUAGAUACCCUGGUAGUCCACACGGUAAACGAUGAAUACUCGCUGUUGGCGAUAUUUGUCAGCGGCCAAGCGAAAGCAUUAAGUUUUCCCACUUGGGGAGUCACCCCGGCAACGGUGAAAACUCAAGGGAAUUGACGGGGGCCCCGCACAAGCGGUGGAGUUUGUGGUUUAUUUCGAAGCAACGCGAAGACCCUUACCAGGGCUUGACAUCCCGGUGACCGCUCUAGAGAUAGAGUUUUUCCUUCGGGACACCGGUGACAGGUGGUGCAUGGUUGUCGUCAGCUCGUGUCGUGAGAUGUUGGGUUAAGUCCCGCAACGAGCGCAACCCCUAUUGUUAGUUGCUACGCAAGAGCACUCUAGCGAGACUGCCGUUGACAAAACGGAGGAAGGUGGGGACGACGUCAAAUCAUCAUGCCCCUUAUGUCCUGGGCCACACACGUACUACAAUGGUGGUUAACAGAGGGAGGCAAUGGAGCGAUCCGGAGCAAAUCCCUAAAAGCCAUCUCAGUUCGGAUUGCAGGCUGCAACUCGCCUGCAUGAAGCUGGAAUUGCUAGUAAUUGCGGAUCAGCAUGCCGCGGUGAAUACGUUCCCGGGCCUUGCACUCACCGCCCGUCAAG